CUAUUUAAAUAUACUUUUAUGAAAUUUAUAAAUACCAUAUGAUAAUUGUUUGUUAAGAAUAUAGAUAUUAUUUUUUAUUGUUCAGAACAAAUUGGAGCUGAAAUUUUAAAUGAUCUGCAUUCUCAAAGAGAAACAAUUCAAAAAGCAAGACAAAAGUUAAGAGAAACAGAUGAUGACUUAGGAAAAAGUUCAAGAAUUUUAACUGGAAUGAUAAGAAGGGUCAUCCAGAAUCGUGUAAUCCUGUUUGUAGUGGGAAGUAUUAUAUUGUGUGUUAUA
Molecule: long non-coding RNA, 276 nt
Organism: Centruroides sculpturatus (bark scorpion)
Lineage: Eukaryota; Metazoa; Arthropoda; Arachnida; Scorpiones; Buthidae
Exons: 3
Source: RefSeq, a predicted model, not a curated record